UUGGAGGGCAAGUCUGGUGCCAGCAGCCGCGGUAAUUCCAGCUCCAAUAGCGUAUAUUAAAGUUGUUGCAGUUAAAAAGCUCGUAGUUGAAUUUCGGAAUUUUUUUACCGGUUGAAUCAACAGGUUCUUACUGAUUUUAAGAAUUUCUACCUUCUGGAGAACCUUAAUGUCAUUUAUUUGAUGUUUUGGGAAACCAGGACUGUUACCUUGAAAAAAUUAGAGUGUUUAAAGCAGGCUUAUGUCUGAAUACAUUAGCAUGGAAUAAUGAAAUAGGACGGCAUGGUUCUAUUUUGUUGGUUUCCAGGAUCACCGUAAUGAUUAAUAGGGAUAGUUGGGGGCAUUAGUAUUCAAUUGUCAGAGGUGAAAUUCUUGGAUUUAUUGAAGACUAACUUCUGCGAAAGCAUUUGCCAAGGAUGUUUUCAUUAGUCAAGAACGAAAGUUAGGGGAUCGAAGACGAUCAGAUACCGUCGUAGUCUUAACCAUAAACUAUGCCGACUAGGAAUCGGACGAAGUUAAUUUUUUAAUGACUCGUUCGGCGCCUUACGGGAAAC
This 551-nucleotide ribosomal RNA is filed under the name uncultured Glomus. Its description in RNAcentral is "SSU rRNA". It matches the Rfam family "Eukaryotic small subunit ribosomal RNA", at positions 548 to 1098 of the family's 1831-position model. The record is from RNAcentral. Lineage: Eukaryota; Fungi; Glomeromycota; Glomeromycetes; Glomerales; Glomeraceae.